Molecule: non-coding RNA, 1890 nt
Organism: Linepithema humile (Argentine ant)
Lineage: Eukaryota; Metazoa; Arthropoda; Insecta; Hymenoptera; Formicidae
Source: RefSeq, a predicted model, not a curated record
CCUACUUAAGACAAUCUUGAAUAUAAGAACGGACUAUGAAUACCGGCCUAAAUCCAUCUAUUAUUGUUAUUGUUUUGCACUUCUUCGCAGUGCUAGUGAGCUUUAGUUCCUCUAUUAACUUCCAUCACGCCACAAGUGUAUUUUAUACGAUUUAUGCCGAAUUACGUUAGUUCCAUGUGUAAUUGUUGAAUGUUUUAAAAUAAAGAGAUCAAUGUAUCUGUUUUAUUCAUUAAAUUUUCAGAUUAAUGUAUUUAAAAACGGUUUUUAAAACUUGAUCCAGAAUCCCAUGAAGUACAUACAGGUGACAUUAGGAUUGUGUUGAAAAUAAACGGUUAUAUUUUUUCUUCUCAAUUUCGGCGGUCACUUAACUGAUUAUAUUCCGGUACUUAAUUUCCGUUAAUUUUAUUUGAGUCGUUAUACAAGUCGGUUUACGAGUGUCAGAAUGGACGAGCUAAGCAUUGAAGAAAAAGAGUUUCUUAUCAACUCCUUCCGCAAUACAGGCAAAAACUAUACUGAGGCGUAUCGUGCAUUUUAUAGUAAAUAUGGCAAUAAAGUGUCAAGCAAAUCUGUACUCAGAAGGGUUAUUGAUAAUUAUAUUGAGAAAGGCAUUCUGUAUGAUGGUACAGAUGAACCCGGCCCAUCUUGUACCGUUACACCGUGUAACUUACACGAAACAAUUAAUACGGUUAAAGCAUAUUUCAAAGAAAAUCCAAAUUCCUCGAUUCGGAAAGCUGCUCGGGUUCUGGGUUUGAAGCGAGAAAUUAUCCGAAAGAUUGGGAAAAAUAUGUAUUAAACUACAUCUAUAUAAAAUCACUACAGUUACAUCAGUUAUUGACAUAGAAAGCGAUGGAGAAACGAAUUUCAACACAAUCCUUAUGGUCACCUUUUAAAUUAAGAGAUUUGAAAAAAUAUAGAGGACACACAAUAUAUUCAAGGGACACUUAUUAUAUUCAAAUAUUGUUUCUAAUGUAUCAGCGCUAUACAUUGCCAUAUAUGAUAUGUGAAAUAUAUUGAAAAUGUCAGGAUUGUCUCGUUCAACGUUACCGGGCAUAAUUUAAGCGGUCUUCCUACUGUGACAGUCGAAAAAUAAGGUAAUUUUUCGGAAUAUUUUAUAAAAAUAGUAUAAGACGUAUCAAUCUGAAACUUUGUAAAUUUAUUUAAACAUUUUGUGAAUAUCCAGUAUUUUUUUUUAUUUAAAAAUAUUGAUUUGCUUGUUUAAGAUAGCGUGUAUUUUACCGGAGUGCGUAAAAAUAUUUUUUGUUUACGGUAAUCAUAAAAUCAGCUGUUAUCCCAAACAGCACGCAAAAAUGACAACAUGCGGAAAAAGUUUCGAUUUUUGCAAAAAAAAACCUCCAGUUUUUUAAGUUGCAAAAAUUGAAUUUUGCAAAUAUUAAUUUAGUUGUAGUAUGAGAAAUAAAAAGACAUUUACUGAACAUAUCUGUCAAGUUUGAAGUGAAUCGGACAAUCCGUUUUUGAGAUAUCGUAGUUAGAUUGACUUGAAAAAUGUUGUUUUGAAAAAAACGUGUUUAAAGUUUUACGAUUUUCCGAUUUCUACCUGCGCGCCGCUCCGCUUCAAAGCCUGUAAUUUCGCCAAUUUUUUGAUUUUAUAUUUUAUACUUUAGGAUUAUAUUUUUAUGAUGUUAAACUGUAAGAUGCAAAAAAAAUUUUUUUUAUUUUUUGAAAAUGUCACAGUGGGAAGACUCCUUAAUGAAACAUCCUUUAGCCGAGAUAUAUGCACUGAAUCAUCUGUCAUUUUGGUAAUUUUCUUUGGUAGUGUAUUUAACGUGCCAUCAACUAUAUAAUAUUUAGUUGAUUUUUUUGACACAGAUUUCUGUAUUGUUGAAGUCUCAACCGAUUAAUCAUUGUAAUAAAACCUCUUUGUUUAUUUAA